CCCGCUGAAUUUAAGCAUAUUAGUCAGCGAAGGAAAAGAAACUAACCAGGAUUCCCUCCGUAAUGGCGAAUGAACAGGGAAGAAUCCCCACCACGUGGUGGGGCGCAGGCCAUGUGGCGUACAGAAGACCCACUCCCCGGUGCCGCUCUCGGUGGGGGCCCAAGUCCUUCUGAUCGAGGCACAGCCCGUGGAUGGUGUAAGGCCUGUAGCGGACCCCGGCACGCCGGGACCGGGUCUUCUUGGAGUCAGGUUGCUUGGGAAUGCAGCCCAAACCAGGUGGCAAACUCCAUCUAAGGCUAAAUACCGGCACGAGACCGAUAGUCAACAAGUACCGUAAGGGAAAGUUGAAAAGAACUUUGAAGAGAGAGUUCAAGAUGGCGACCCAGAUGGGACAAUGUUUUCCCAUUUCUGCUCCUUUUGCUCUGCAUCACUUCCUGGAGGUUGUUCCAGUCUCCGUGGAAUUCCUCCACUUUAUUAUUCCCUUGAGCACAAUAGUAUUCCAUCACCAACAUAUACCACAAUUUGUUCAGCCAUUCCCCAAAUGAAGGGCAUCCCCUCAUUUUCUAAUUUUUUGCCACCACAAAGAGCGCAGCUAUGAAUAUUCUUGUACAA
This 612-nucleotide non-coding RNA is filed under the name Monodelphis domestica (gray short-tailed opossum). RNAcentral describes it as "Eukaryotic large subunit ribosomal RNA". It matches the Rfam family "Eukaryotic large subunit ribosomal RNA", at positions 24 to 620 of the family's 3401-position model. The record is from Rfam by way of RNAcentral. Lineage: Eukaryota; Metazoa; Chordata; Mammalia; Didelphimorphia; Didelphidae.